RNAcentral lists this ribosomal RNA (996 nucleotides) under uncultured bacterium. Its description in RNAcentral is "bacterial SSU rRNA". It matches the Rfam family "Bacterial small subunit ribosomal RNA", at positions 355 to 1375 of the family's 1533-position model. The record is from RNAcentral.
UGGGGAAUAUUGCACAAUGGGGGAAACCCUGAUGCAGCGACGCCGCGUGGAGGAAGAAGGCCUUCGGGUUGUAAACUCCUGUCGUAAGGGACGAUAGUGACGGUACCUUACAAGAAAGCCACGGCUAACUACGUGCCAGCAGCCGCGGUAAAACGUAGGUGGCAAGCGUUGUCCGGAAUUACUGGGUGUAAAGGGAGCGCAGGCGGGUCUGCAAGUUGGAAGUGAAACCCAUGGGCUCAACCCAUGAACUGCUUUCAAAACUGCGGAUCUUGAGUGGUGUAGAGGUAGGCGGAAUUCCCGGUGUAGCGGUGGAAUGCGUAGAUAUCGGGAGGAACACCAGUGGCGAAGGCGGCCUACUGGGCACUAACUGACGCUGAGGCUCGAAAGCAUGGGUAGCAAACAGGAUUAGAUACCCUGGUAGUCCAUGCCGUAAACGAUGAUUACUAGGUGUGGGAGGAUUGACCCCUUCCGUGCCGCAGUUAACACAAUAAGUAAUCCACCUGGGGAGUACGACCGCAAGGUUGAAACUCAAAGGAAUUGACGGGGGCCCGCACAAGCAGUGGAGUAUGUGGUUUAAUUCGAAGCAACGCGAAGAACCUUACCAGGUCUUGACAUCCCGUGCAUAGUCUAGAGAUAGAUGAAGUCCUUCGGGACACGGAGACAGGUGGUGCAUGGUUGUCGUCAGCUCGUGUCGUGAGAUGUUGGGUUAAGUCCCGCAACGAGCGCAACCCUUAUCGUUAGUUACUACGCAAGAGGACUCUAGCGAGACUGCCGUUGACAAAACGGAGGAAGGUGGGGAUGACGUCAAAUCAUCAUGCCCUUUAUGACCUGGGCUACACACGUACUACAAUGGCAAUUAACAAAGAGAAGCGAAGCCGCGAGGUGGAGCAAACCUCAUAAAAAUUGUCUCAGUUCAGAUUGCAGGCUGCAACUCGCCUGCAUGAAGUCGGAAUUGCUAGUAAUCGCGGAUCAGCAUGCCGCGGUGAAUACGUUCCC